UUUCCCCUGCACACACGGAGGGACUGAUCAUGCAAACUGUCUUUAGAGUCAAACACAGUUUGGUUUGUGCGUUUAUGUGGACUGUCGGUGAGUCACUCUCUCGGAGUUCAUUUGACUGUCUUAGUUCAACACUGACUCAUCACCAAAAUAGGCCGCGCUGCGAUAUGUUCUUCCCCUCUGUGCUUCCCUCGACCUCAGCAGGCAUUAUUGACCUGAGACUUCCUCCCGCCUCACCAGUAAGAGCAGUUUGGCUCAUCAUUGUCUUGUUCCCACCUGCCCAGUGGGGACGAGGAUUCUCUGCUGAUGAGGAUUCUUCAGAGGACAAUAACAAGCAUCUCUUUGUCUUAUUGUUCCUGUUUUUUCUUUGUUUUUUCCUUUGAUACUGGGAUGUUUUCUUGACUUUUUUUCAUCAUACUGCAUAUGUUUAACAAUGUUUGUCUAUUUUGUCAUUUUUGCCUUGUAUUCUUUUGUCACACAUUGGCUUAAAAAUGUAUUCCUGCAUUGCCUGUCCUUAAAUAUUUAAUUCCAAACAUGUAUGUGUAGAUAUAAUGUUUUGUGAAUGUCACAUGUUUCUAGUUUGUGCUUGCUGGUAUUAAGAUGUGUGAACAUGUUUUCUCUUGGGAAUCUGUUUCCAUGUCCCUCGGCUCUGGUUGGCAACACCUGUCCUAGUUACCAUACAUUUCACUCAGGUCGAAUAUGCAGAACGAGAACGAGGACGUGUGCCUAAACAUUGGUCUUUACAUGUUGAAUUGAAAAAGUAAUGGCAUCUCUGUUUCUUUUUUAAUUAUUUGACCGUAUUUCUUCUCAAUUCCAGAGAGAUUAAACUACCCAACAAUUUAUGAAGUGGUUGGACCAGUUAAAAGUGUACUGCUCAAAACCACGUCUCUUUGAUAAAUGCGGGUCUGGUUUUAGGAGAUACAUGGGAAAUAUUUCACAGUCUGUUGUGGGUUGAUGAUGAGAUAUGUUUGAAAUAUGCACACAAGUUGAAUUUCUAUGUACUAAACUAUGUACUAACCCCCUUUGAUUAUGAUGGAAUUUGUCUAGGGGUGGGAGGGACUAGUCUUGAACCGUGAGGUGCUAAUUAGUUUUUAUUUCUAAUAUUUCAAUUUCUCCUGUAAACUGCACUAUGUUUAAGACAAAUCCAACAAAUAAAAAAGGUUCUGCUCAACCAAUAAUGAAUAAAUUAUUGGGUUUUUUAUGAUAACAGUUUUAAGCAAAGUAAACAUUUGAAUGCAGGACUUUUAUUUGUAGUCAAGUGUUUUCACGUUCCUUUUAAAGGGAAGAGGUCGGGUGGAUGGAUGGGUCAAACAAACACAGGACUUUUACCCAGAAGGCCGCUGUUAGUUUCACG
RNAcentral lists this long non-coding RNA (1351 nucleotides) under Cottoperca gobio. RNAcentral's name for it is "lncRNA (ENSCGOG00000010400.1)". The record is from RNAcentral. Lineage: Eukaryota; Metazoa; Chordata; Actinopteri; Perciformes; Bovichtidae.